GAUGAACGCUGGCGGCGUGCCUAAUACAUGCAAGUCGAACGAACAGACGAGGAGCUUGCUCCUCUGACGUUAGCGGCGGACGGGUGAGUAACACGUGGAUAACCUACCUAUAAGACUGGGAUAACUUCGGGAAACCGGAGCUAAUACCGGAUAAUAUAUUGAACCGCAUGGUUCAAUAGUGAAAGACGGUUUUGCUGUCACUUAUAGAUGGAUCCGCGCCGCAUUAGCUAGUUGGUAAGGUAACGGCUUACCAAGGCAACGAUGCGUAGCCGACCUGAGAGGGUGAUCGGCCACACUGGAACUGAGACACGGUCCAGACUCCUACGGGAGGCAGCAGUAGGGAAUCUUCCGCAAUGGGCGAAAGCCUAACGGAGCAACGCCGCGUGAGUGAUGAAGGUCUUCGGAUCGUAAAACUCUGUUAUUAGGGAAGAACAAAUGUGUAAGUAACUAUGCACGUCUUGACGGUACCUAAUCAGAAAGCCACGGCUAACUACGUG
This 497-nucleotide ribosomal RNA is filed under the name uncultured bacterium. Its description in RNAcentral is "partial 16S ribosomal RNA". It matches the Rfam family "Bacterial small subunit ribosomal RNA", at positions 28 to 507 of the family's 1533-position model. The record is from RNAcentral.